GUGCUUUCUCUCAGAGGAAAUCUCUGUUAUUAGCCAUUAUAGGGCUUCUUUAUCUUGUUUGGGAUCUUUGGACCUAACUCCCUCAUCUAUUUCUCCGAUUAUUGAUAUGGCUGAAUCAGAUGCCUUCGCAGCUAAUGUUAUGAUCAACUCGGAUGAUUCUGAUGUUGAAGGCAUACCAUAUUUGGAUGUUCAAAGUCCUUUG
This 202-nucleotide long non-coding RNA is filed under the name Panax ginseng (ginseng). RNAcentral describes it as "long non-coding RNA (PGIN_LNC015324)". The record is from RNAcentral. Lineage: Eukaryota; Viridiplantae; Streptophyta; Magnoliopsida; Apiales; Araliaceae.